RNAcentral lists this ribosomal RNA (352 nucleotides) under uncultured bacterium. Its description in RNAcentral is "bacterial SSU rRNA". It matches the Rfam family "Bacterial small subunit ribosomal RNA", at positions 22 to 356 of the family's 1533-position model. The record is from RNAcentral.
GCUCAGGAUGAACGCUGGCGGCGUGCCUAACACAUGCAAGUCGAGCGAAGCACUUUGCUUAGAUUCUUCGGAUGAAGAGGAUUGUGACUGAGCGGCGGACGGGUGAGUAACGCGUAGGUAACCUGCCUCAUACAGGGGGAUAACAGUUAGAAAUGACUGCUAAUACCGCAUAAGACCACAGCACCGCAUGGUGCGGGGGUAAAAACUCCGGCGGUAUGAGAUGGACCCGCGUCUGAUUAGCUAGUUGGUAAGGUAACGGCUUACCAAGGCGACGAUCAGUAGCCGACCUGAGAGGGUGACCGGCCACAUUGGGACUGAGACACGGCCCAAACUCCUACGGGAGGCAGCAGUA